GGGGGUGUAACGGUUUCGACAGUAGUUUAGAAAUAUAAAUAGCGAGUAGUGGAUGGUUGCUUUGGCCACUAUAAAAAAGCAAAAUUAAAUAUAAACGCUGAUAACGAAGAAUUAGCAUUCGCUGCCUAAUUGCAGUGACGUCUUAUCUAUAAUACCCACGGUAUAGAAUAAGGCGACGAAUUAGUGGGAAACGAAACUAUUUUUUGCUAGGAAAAUAGUGGGAUUUUUAUAGCUACUUUAAAAAUGAGUUUGUUUGUUAACUUAUUUUUAGAGGAAUAAAUAAUAACAAACUGCACUCGGAGAAGUUUAUAUGGAAGAGCUAUUGGACAGGAGUUCGAUUCUCCUCACCUCCACCA
This 356-nucleotide transfer-messenger RNA is filed under the name Clostridia. RNAcentral describes it as "CAG-492 sp000434335 Standard tmRNA". It matches the Rfam family "transfer-messenger RNA". Rfam says of the family: Bacterial tmRNA, also known as 10Sa RNA or SsrA, is named for its dual tRNA and mRNA-like properties. Lineage: Bacteria; Bacillati; Bacillota. RNAcentral also lists the same sequence under 1 other name. The record is from RNAcentral.